This 66-nucleotide transfer RNA is filed under the name Lasius niger. RNAcentral describes it as "tRNA-Thr". Lineage: Eukaryota; Metazoa; Arthropoda; Insecta; Hymenoptera; Formicidae. The record is from RNAcentral.
GCUUUUUAUAGUUUAAAAAAAACAUUAAUUUUGUAAAUUAAAAAUAUUUCCCAAAAAUUAUAAGCU